RNAcentral lists this ribosomal RNA (440 nucleotides) under uncultured bacterium. RNAcentral describes it as "partial 16S ribosomal RNA". It matches the Rfam family "Bacterial small subunit ribosomal RNA", at positions 338 to 795 of the family's 1533-position model. The record is from RNAcentral.
CCUACGGGAGGCAGCAGUGGGGAAUAUUGCACAAUGGGGGAAACCCUGAUGCAGCGACGCCGCGUGAGUGAAGAAGUAAUUCGUUACGUAAAGCUCUAUCAGCAGGGAAGAAAAUGACGGUACCUGAGUACGAAGCCCCGGCUAACUACGUGACAGCAGCCGCGGUAAUACGGAGGGGGCAAGCGUUAUCCGGAUUUACUGGGGUUAAAGGGAGCGUAGACGGUGCGCCAAGUCUGGAGUGAAAUGCCGCAGCUUAACUGCGGAACUGCUUUGGAAACUGGCGAACUAGAGUGCGGGAGGGGUAAGCGGAAUUCCUAGUGUAGCGGUGAAAUGCAUAGAUAUUAGGAAGAACACCGGUGGCGAAGGCAGCUUACUGGACCAUAACUGACGUUGAGGCUCGAAAGCGUGGGGAGCGAACAGGAUUAGAUACCCGGGUAGUC